GUUCUUGUAGUUGAAUUACAACGGUGGUUUUUCAAGUCAUAGGUCUAAGUUAAAGUCUUAGUGAGAAUG
RNAcentral lists this transfer RNA (69 nucleotides) under Poecilia latipinna (sailfin molly). RNAcentral describes it as "tRNA-Glu". It matches the Rfam family "tRNA". Rfam says of the family: Transfer RNA (tRNA) molecules are approximately 80 nucleotides in length. Their secondary structure includes four short double-helical elements and three loops (D, anti-codon, and T loops). Lineage: Eukaryota; Metazoa; Chordata; Actinopteri; Cyprinodontiformes; Poeciliidae. RNAcentral also lists the same sequence under 1 other name. The record is from RNAcentral.